GACGUAGGGCGCGAGCGUUGUUCGGAAUUAUUGGGCGUAAAGAGCUCGUAGGCGGUUUGUCGCGUCUGCUGUGAAAACCUAAGGCUCAACCUUGGGCUUGCAGUGGGUACGGGCAGACUAGAGUGCGGUAGGGGUGACUGGAAUUCCUGGUGUAGCGGUGGAAUGCGCAGAUAUCAGGAGGAACACCGGUGGCGAAGGCGGGUCUCUGGGCCGAUACUGACGCUGAGGAGCGAAAGCGUGGGGAGCGAACAGG
This 253-nucleotide ribosomal RNA is filed under the name uncultured bacterium. RNAcentral's name for it is "partial 16S ribosomal RNA". It matches the Rfam family "Bacterial small subunit ribosomal RNA", at positions 524 to 776 of the family's 1533-position model. The record is from RNAcentral.